UACAGAGGUGCCAAGCGUUAGGCGGAAUCACUGGGCUUAAAGCGCGUGUAGGCGGGUCGUUAAGUGUCCGAGUGAAAUCCCACGGCUCAACCGUGGAACUGCCGGGCAUACUGGCGAUCUUGAGGCAUUCAGGGGCGAGCGGAACAAAUGGUGGAGCGGUGAAAUGCGUAGAUAUCAUUUGGAACGCCAAUGGUGAAAACAGGUAGCUGGGGGUGUGCUGACACUGAGACACGAAAGCCAGGGGAGCAAACGGG
This 254-nucleotide ribosomal RNA is filed under the name uncultured prokaryote. Its description in RNAcentral is "partial 16S ribosomal RNA". It matches the Rfam family "Bacterial small subunit ribosomal RNA", at positions 524 to 776 of the family's 1533-position model. The record is from RNAcentral.